This 1200-nucleotide ribosomal RNA is filed under the name Candidatus Phytoplasma oryzae. RNAcentral describes it as "bacterial SSU rRNA". It matches the Rfam family "Bacterial small subunit ribosomal RNA", at positions 173 to 1375 of the family's 1533-position model. RNAcentral also lists the same sequence under 1 other name. Lineage: Bacteria; Bacillati; Mycoplasmatota; Mollicutes; Acholeplasmatales; Acholeplasmataceae. The record is from RNAcentral.
AGAAGCUUAAGGCAUCUUUUUAUUUUUAAAAGACCUUUUUCGGAAGGUAUGCUUAAAGAGGGGCUUGCGUCACAUUAGUUAGUUGGCAGGGUAAAGGCCUACCAAGACUAUGAUGUGUAGCUGGACUGAGAGGUUGAACAGCCACAUUGGGACUGAGACACGGCCCAAACUCCUACGGGAGGCAGCAGUAGGGAAUUUUCGGCAAUGGAGGAAACUCUGACCGAGCAACGCCGCGUGAACGAUGAAGUAUUUCGGUAUGUAAAGUUCUUUUAUUGAAGAAGAAAAAAUAGUGGAAAAACUAUCUUGACGAUAUUCAAUGAAUAAGCCCCGGCAAACUAUGUGCCAGCAGCCGCGGUAAUACAUAGGGGGCGAGCGUUAUCCGGAAUUAUUGGGCGUAAAGGGUGCGUAGGCGGUUUAAUAAGUCUAUAGUUUAAUUUCAGUGCUUAACACUGUCCUGCUAUAGAAACUAUUAGACUAGAGUGAGAUAGAGGCAAGUGGAAUUCCAUGUGUAGCGGUAAAAUGCGUAAAUAUAUGGAGGAACACCAGAGGCGUAGGCGGCUUGCUGGGUCUUUACUGACGCUGAGGCACGAAAGCGUGGGGAGCAAACAGGAUUAGAUACCCUGGUAGUCCACGCCGUAAACGAUGAGUACUAAGUGUCGGGAUUACUCGGUACUGAAGUUAACACAUUAAGUACUCCGCCUGAGUAGUACGUACGCAAGUAUGAAACUUAAAGGAAUUGACGGGACUCCGCACAAGCGGUGGAUCAUGUUGUUUAAUUCGAAGAUACACGAAAAACCUUACCAGGUCUUGACAUACUCUGCAAAGCUAUAGCAAUAUAGUGGAGGUUAUCAGGGAUACAGGUGGUGCAUGGUUGUCGUCAGCUCGUGUCGUGAGAUGUUAGGUUAAGUCCUAAAACGAGCGCAACCCUUGUCAUUAGUUGCCAGCAUGUCAUGAUGGGCACUUUAAUGAGACUGCCAAUGAAAAAUUGGAGGAAGGUGAGGAUCACGUCAAAUCAUCAUGCCCCUUAUGAUCUGGGCUACAAACGUGAUACAAUGGCUGUUACAAAGAGUAGCUGAAACGCAAGUUUAUAGCCAAUCUCAUAAAAGCAGUCUCAGUUCGGAUUGAAGUCUGCAACUCGACUUCAUGAAGUUGGAAUCGCUAGUAAUCGCGAAUCAGCAUGUCGCGGUGAAAUUUAAACCC